UAACGGCCGCGGUACCCUAACCGUGCAAAGGUAGCAUAAUCAUUUGUCUAUUAACUGUAGACCUGUAUGAAAGGCAAAAUGAGGGUUUAACUGUCUCUUAUAAUAAAUCUAUUAAACUGAUCUUCUAGUAAAAAAGCUAGAAUACCAACAUAAGACCAGAAGACCCUGUGAAGCUUGAACUAAACUAUUAAACCAAAUAAUACUUACUUUUGGUUGGGGCGACCUUGGAAACAAAAAAAACUUCCAAACACAAAUAUUAUAAAUAUAACCACAGGCUUACAAGCCAAUAAACGACCCAGUAAAACUGACAAUUGAACAAAGUUACUCCAGGGAUAACAGCGCUAUCUUCUUCAAGAGCCCAUAUCAAAAAGAAGGUUUACGACCUCGAUGUUGGAUCAGGACAUCCCAAUGGUGCAGCCGCUAUUAAAGGUUCGUUUGUUCAACG
RNAcentral lists this ribosomal RNA (445 nucleotides) under Herpetoreas xenura (Wall's keelback). RNAcentral describes it as "partial large subunit ribosomal RNA". It matches the Rfam family "Bacterial large subunit ribosomal RNA", at positions 1925 to 2586 of the family's 2925-position model. The record is from RNAcentral. Lineage: Eukaryota; Metazoa; Chordata; Lepidosauria; Squamata; Natricidae.